AGCGAACGCUGGCGGCAGGCCUAACACAUGCAAGUCGAACGAACCUUUCGGGGUUAGUGGCGGACGGGUGAGUAACACGUGGGAACGUGCCUUUAGGUUCGGAAUAACUCAGGGAAACUUGUGCUAAUACCGAAUGUGCCCUUCGGGGGAAAGAUUUAUCGCCUUUAGAGCGGCCCGCGUCUGAUUAGCUAGUUGGUUGAGGUAAUGGCUCACCAAGGCGACGAUCAGUAGCUGGUCUGAGAGGAUGAUCAGCCACAUUGGGACUGAGACACGGCCCAAAGGCCGGUGGGUGGCAGCGGGGGGGAAGUUUGGAGACUGGGCGAAAGCCGGAUCAAGCACUGCCGCUGGAGGUAAGAAGGCCGUCGGGCUGUAAACCGCUCUGGGCAGGAACGAAACGGAGUCCGCUAAUACCGGCCGCGAAUGACGGUACCUGCAGAAUAAGCACCGGCUAACUACGUG
Molecule: ribosomal RNA, 459 nt
Filed under: uncultured bacterium
Lineage: Bacteria
Description: partial 16S ribosomal RNA
Rfam family: Bacterial small subunit ribosomal RNA
Source: RNAcentral